UAGGAAAGCAUUAUGAAUGUUUUCCUAUGUGACCGGCUGAAUGCGCGCGCAGCUCUUGCCGCGCGUGCACAUACAGCCGACGGGGAGGAGAAGAGGAGGAUCGGAGGAGGAGAGCUCUCCGCCCAGCGCUGGAAAAAGGUAAGUUUUACCCCUUUUCCCCUUUCCAGAGCUGGGCAGGAGGGGGUCCCUGAGGGUGGGGGCACCCUCAGGGCACU
Non-coding RNA from Pelobates cultripes (western spadefoot toad), 215 nucleotides. The record is from the annotation of a GenBank genome assembly. NCBI's taxonomy places the organism in Eukaryota, Metazoa, Chordata, Amphibia, Anura, Pelobatidae.